Molecule: ribosomal RNA, 118 nt
Organism: Otolemur garnettii (small-eared galago)
Lineage: Eukaryota; Metazoa; Chordata; Mammalia; Primates; Galagidae
Source: Ensembl
AUCUACAGCCAUAUUGCCCUGAACACACCCAAUCUUGUCUGAUCUUAGAUGCUAAGCAGGGUUGAGCCUGGUUAGUACUUGGAUGGGAAAUGUUUUAGAAGUCUAAGCUCUGAAGUGG